Molecule: ribosomal RNA, 208 nt
Filed under: uncultured bacterium
Lineage: Bacteria
Description: partial 16S ribosomal RNA
Rfam family: Bacterial small subunit ribosomal RNA
Source: RNAcentral
GGCGCAGACGGUUAUUUAAGCAAGAUGUGAAAGCCCCGGGCUCAACCUGGGAACUGCGUUUUGAACUGGGUAACUAGAGUGUGUCAGAGGGGGGUAGAAUUCCACGUGUAGCAGUGAAAUGCGUAGAGAUGUGGAGGAAUACCGAUGGCGAAGGCAGCCCCCUGGGAUAACACUGACGUUCAUGCUCGAAAGCGUGGGUAAGCAAACA